RNAcentral lists this ribosomal RNA (407 nucleotides) under uncultured bacterium. RNAcentral's name for it is "bacterial SSU rRNA". It matches the Rfam family "Bacterial small subunit ribosomal RNA", at positions 30 to 437 of the family's 1533-position model. The record is from RNAcentral.
AUUGAACGCUGGCGGCGUGCUUAACACAUGCAAGUCGUGCGGUAACAGGCGUAGCAAUACGUGCUGACGAGCGGCGAACGGGUGCGUAAUACAUGGGAAUCUGCCUUUUAGUGGGGAAUAACCCGGCGAAAGCCGGGCUAAUGCCGCAUAAGAUCUUCGGAUGAAAGCGGGGGAUCGUAAGACCUCACGCUGAUAGAUGAGCCCAUGCCGGAUUAGCUAGNGGUGAGGUAACGGCUCACCAAGGCGACGAUCCGUAGCUGGUCUGAGAGGACGGCCAGCCACACUGGGACUGAGACACGGCCCAGACUCCUACGGGAGGCAGCAGUGGGGAAUAUUGGACAAUGGGGGAACCCUGAUCCAGCGACGCCGCGUGUGUGAAGAAGGCCUGCGGGUUGUAAAGCACUUUC